AUGUUAACACUAUUCUCUUUCUUCUUCAUCACCUCCACCACUCUUGAUGAUCCCUACACAUCGAGUCAUUCCUUGUCAGAGACCUCUCAUAGUGAUGAAGAAUUCCCCAAACCACCGCCACCACCAUCUUUGAUGAAAGGCACAAGAUGAGCGAUAAAUGGAUUUGUGGUCAUUGAUAGAACAUAGUCGAUUAUAUUCAAGUAAUUGAAUGACAAUAUAUGCCAACAUCUAUCAUCAAACAACCGUGGUUCACAAUAUGUCACAAAUCAACAACGAAGCUCAAAAUAAAUAGAUCUAAUGAUCAUUCCAAUCAACUAUGAUUAAGGUAUUGGUUACAUGUAAAUAACAUCAUUAUCUCUCAAUAAAACAACAAAAAUUACCGGUUACAAGCAAAUAAUAUCCGUUGACAUGAACCAAUAGAAAGAAUAAAUUAUCCUCUUAUACAAUUACCAACCAAAUAACUACCAACCGCUGCCCCAACAUAAAUAAACCGUCAUAUAGCAAUUGGAACGCCACCGUCUCAAAUACUUGCAAUUAUCCCACCGAUUCAUUAACUGUUAUCAUCCAUCACCCUCAUGGAACCGGCACAACCAUUCAUCAACCGACAUAUCUCCUUCCACCAUCGUUCCACCGUCGUCAGCAACCGUUUCUACCUCUAUAUAACCCUCACACCACCAGAAUAAUUGCCGGUCAUGUAUCCACCCAUCUGAAACCUUUGCAGACUCAUGGUGUGAGGGGAGUUAUAUUCAUAAAUCCAGUCACUCAAUUUCCGAUUAAUAUAACCCUUCCGCCGCAAGUAAUUUGCAACAAACUCCAACGUAGUCGUCACCGGAUUCCGCUCUGAUUUUCAUUGUACUCCACCGGCAUGAGUUCAACAAGAAGAGACGACCGAUGAUGGUUUUAUUAAUUGGAUAAUAUCGCAACAAAACUUCAUCGUCAAUUAUCAUACCUAUAAUGGUACAAAGCAUGGAGGAUUUCUGGAGGUGCAACCUUGCCAAAGAAAUUAAAAAGAGGAAGGAGAUUGAAGCAAAGUUAAAAGACCAAGAAGAAUAAGCGAACCGGUUCAGACAGAUCAUAGAUGUAGCAUUCCUACGAUAAGAAGACGUUUCAUUUGGAGAAAAUGAUGGAAUGGCACGUGGCCGCAUAGCGUCUCUAGAGGUCCCUCCGGUUGCGCCUGAUGUCGUGUUUUGUCGAAAUCGCUAUCCUUACGAUCCAACAACAAUAAUACACUCAUUUUAUGCUUAUACUCUAUCGUUGGUGGACACACCGUAAUGGAACCGAUAAAAACAUCCAUAGACCAUCAUGACUUUACGGUUGAAGAAGUUCAGUCGUGCUAUGGUGGUUGUGGUUCGGUGGUUGUGUUAUGGUGGUGGUUCAUUGGUGGUGUUGUAGCGAGGGCUCCAUGGUAGUGUUGUGAUGUCGAUGGUGUGAUUGAUUUCCCUCCUAUGCCUUUUAACGCCAUUCUUUUGGUAUUUGUGUGUUGAGUAUAUGUGUAGAAGAAACUGGAUUGCUUUGAAUAAUGGAGAAGUGAGAUAUCAAUUUGAAUGGUGAUAUUUGGAUCAUAUACAUUGUAUUUGAUG
This 1580-nucleotide long non-coding RNA is filed under the name Helianthus annuus (common sunflower). The record is from RNAcentral. Lineage: Eukaryota; Viridiplantae; Streptophyta; Magnoliopsida; Asterales; Asteraceae.